CCUACGGGUGGCAGCAGUGGGGAAUAUUGCACAAUGGGGGGAACCCUGAUGCAGCAACGCCGCGUGGGUGAAGAAGUACUCCGGUAUGUAAAGCCCUGUCAGCAGGGAAGAAAAUGACGGUACCUGACCAAGAAGCCCCGGCUAACUACGUGCCAGCAGCCGCGGUAAUACGUAGGGGGCAAGCGUUAUCCGGAUUUACUGGGUGUAAAGGGAGUGUAGACGGCAAGGCAAGUCUGGAGUGAAAGCCCGGGGCCCAACCACGGGACUGCUUUGGAAACUGUGUUGCUGGAGUGCAGGAGGGGUAAGCGGAAUUCCUAGUGUAGCGGUGAAAUGCGUAGAUAUUAGGAGGAACACCGGUGGCGAAGGCGGCUUACUGGACUGUAACUGACGUUGAGGCUCGAAGGCGUGGGGAGCAAACAGGAUUAGAUACCCUUGUAGUC
RNAcentral lists this ribosomal RNA (440 nucleotides) under uncultured bacterium. RNAcentral's name for it is "partial 16S ribosomal RNA". It matches the Rfam family "Bacterial small subunit ribosomal RNA", at positions 338 to 795 of the family's 1533-position model. The record is from RNAcentral.